GAAUUUUGGACAAUGGGCGAUAGCCUGAUCCAGCAAUGCCGCGUGCAGUAUUAAGGCCUUCGGGUUGUAAACUGCUUUUGUACGGACCGAAAAGCUUUUGGUUACUACCCUCGACUCCUCACAGUACCGUAAGAAUAAGCACCGGUUAACUCCCUGCCAGCAGCCGCGGUAAUACGUAGGGUGCAAGCGUUAAUCGGAAUUCCUGGGAGUAAAGCGUGCGCAGGCGGUUUUGUAAGACAGAGGUGAAAUCCCCGGGCUCAACCUGGGAACUGCCUUUGUGACUGCAAGGCUAGAGUACGGCAGAGGGGGGUGGAAUUCCGCGUGUAGCAGUGAAAUGCGUGGAUAUGCGGAGGAACACCGAUGGCGAAGGCAACCCCCUGGGCCUGUACUGACGCUCAUGCACGAAAGCGUGGGGAGCAAACA
RNAcentral lists this ribosomal RNA (423 nucleotides) under uncultured bacterium. RNAcentral's name for it is "partial 16S ribosomal RNA". It matches the Rfam family "Bacterial small subunit ribosomal RNA", at positions 359 to 774 of the family's 1533-position model. The record is from RNAcentral.